GGAUCUGAGGGCUGUCUGUGACAUCUGUCACCCUGCGGGUCACCAGGGUUGAUUUGGGCUGAUCAGAGUUGACAGGUGAACAUUCCCCCUUCUCUAUGUGUGUCUCCCUCUCAAAGCUCUGUGCUCAGUAGACAAGGGCAACCUCCCCAACAGAGGAGAACCUUUUUUUCAGUCAAAGACAAGCACGUAGCUGUGCUCCCCUACCAGAACCACCAAACACGCUCCCAGUUCAAAAGUUUCCACUUGGUGGGGAGUGGGGUGGUUCUGUGGCGUUUGCUUGCCAGACGUGGCUGUAGCUUGCCAUCAAGUCACAUUGACAAACUCU
RNAcentral lists this small nuclear RNA (325 nucleotides) under Nannospalax galili (Upper Galilee mountains blind mole rat). Its description in RNAcentral is "7SK RNA (ENSNGAG00000001797.1)". It matches the Rfam family "7SK RNA". Rfam says of the family: 7SK was discovered as an abundant small nuclear RNA in the mid-70s but a possible function has only recently been suggested. Two independent studies have found that 7SK RNA binds the CDK9/cyclin T complex (known as elongation factor P-TEFb). Lineage: Eukaryota; Metazoa; Chordata; Mammalia; Rodentia; Spalacidae. The record is from RNAcentral.